This 402-nucleotide ribosomal RNA is filed under the name Verrucomicrobiota bacterium. RNAcentral describes it as "Verrucomicrobia bacterium partial 16S ribosomal RNA". It matches the Rfam family "Bacterial small subunit ribosomal RNA", at positions 355 to 776 of the family's 1533-position model. The record is from RNAcentral. Lineage: Bacteria; Pseudomonadati; Verrucomicrobiota.
UGGGGAAUAUUGCACAAUGGGGGAAACCCUGAUGCAGCGACGCCGCGUGAUUUAGAAGGCCUUCGGGUUGUAAAAAUCUUUUUUAUGGGAUGAAAAUGGCAGUACCAUAAGAAUAAGGUCCUGCUAAAUACGUGCCAGCAGCCGCGGUAAUACGUAUGGACCGAGCGUUGUCCGGAAUCAUUGGGCGUAAAGGGUACGUAGGCGGCCCAGUAAGUUAGAAGUGAAAUAAUAUAGCUCAACUAUAUAAAGCUUUUAAAACUGCUAGGCUUGAGAGAUGGAAGGGAAAGUGGAAUUCCUAGUGUAGCGGUGAAAUGCGCAGAUAUUAUGAAGAAUACCGGUGGCGAAGGCGACUUUCUGGUCAUCAUCUGACGCUGAGGUACGAAAGCGUGGGUAGCAAACAGG